GAUGAACGCUGGCGGCGUGCCUAAUACAUGCAAGUCGAGCGAACGGACGAGAAGCUUGCUUCUCUGAUGUUAGCGGCGGACGGGUGAGUAACACGUGGAUAACCUACCUAUAAGACUGGGAUAACUUCGGGAAACCGGAGCUAAUACCGGAUGAUAUUUUGAACCGCAUGGUUCAAAAGUGAAAGACGGUCUUGCUGUCACUUAUAGAUGGAUCCGCGCUGCAUUAGCUAGUUGGUAAGGUAACGGCUUACCAAGGCAACGAUGCAUAGCCGACCUGAGAGGGUGAUCGGCCACCCUGGAACUGAGACACGGUCCAGACUCCUACGGGAGGCAGCAGUAGGGAAUCUUCCGCAAUGGGCGAAAGCCUGACGGAGCAACGCCGCGUGAGUGAUGAAGGUCUUCGGAUCGUAAAACUCUGUUAUUAGGGAAGAACAUAUGUGUAAGUAACUGUGCACAUCGUGACGGUACCUAAUCAGAAAGCCACGGCUAACUACGUG
Molecule: ribosomal RNA, 497 nt
Filed under: uncultured bacterium
Lineage: Bacteria
Description: partial 16S ribosomal RNA
Rfam family: Bacterial small subunit ribosomal RNA
Source: RNAcentral